Manis pentadactyla (Chinese pangolin) is the source of this 4517-nucleotide long non-coding RNA. RefSeq lists it as uncharacterized. NCBI's taxonomy places the organism in Eukaryota, Metazoa, Chordata, Mammalia, Pholidota, Manidae. The transcript has 3 exons. The record is from RefSeq and is a predicted model, not a curated record.
GGGAGCGGGGCGGGGCCGGGAGGAUUUGGGAGGCGGCCGCUUGCUGAGGAGACUGGCCGGGGGCUGGGGCCGCGCCAGGUGGGCACCUGGGGAGGAAAGGCACGGCGUCCCGGGCCCGCGGCGGGACCCGGCGCUGGAGGCGGGGAAAGGGGCGUCCUGGGGGAGGAAGGGGACGUUGACAGCAGCCCCGGGAUGUGGAGGUGGAGGAGUCCCGGAAUGGGUUUGGGAGAGACGCCGGGAGUCGGAAACCGGUGUAGGGAGGCCAGCUUGGGUCCGAGCUCCGGCCCGCACCCAGAGGCCGGGAAGGGGCAGCGGCCCGCAGGGAAGGGCCGAGGGGCGCAGUGGGUCGGCCCAGCCGCUGCUUUGGUGGGAAGCCCCCGGCCCACGGGGGCGCGCAGGGAAACGUGACUUGGAGUGAGUGACCGUGUGGGGGGCAAAUGCCAAGCUUGCGUGAAACUCCCUCGGGUUCCCUCAUCCUCCCACCCCCAUCUUGUUUCCACAACUUCUCCACCUCACUUGUGGCUUCUUCCAGGGCUGGAGCAGAGGAAGGUGGGGAACGAGAAAUCAGAGUUGGACCUCAUCUUAGCUCUGUCUUGGCCUUUUGAGCAUUGGACGGUCGCUGCUUCUCCCUCAGCCCCACAGUUUACUUUCCAGCGAAAUGAGGACCCUAAACUUGUGCGUGAGGUGCCUUGAGGUGUUUUGGUUUUGCACCGGGACUUCUGGCAAAGCUCUUCCUUGUAACUCUACACUGAUAUACCCUAUGGUCUCUGUCUUCCCCCACAAUCCAAGUGAAUCCUUGAGACUUACAGACAAAGGAAAACCAGUAAAUUGUCAUCUAAUUUACAGUUUUAUGAAACUACUUCCUUCUGUGAAGAGAAUGAAUUUGAGGAAGAGGUAAGAAUGGAAGCAAGGAAACCAUCAGGAGGGUAGAUAAGAAUAAAUAAUAGUAAUAAUAAUAAUAACAAUAACUAACACAAUGUUUACCAAAUGGCCAGGCACUAUUCUAAGUAUCUUACAUGAACCAUCUUAAGUGUGCUAUCCAGUUAGCACUCUCUUUCAUUCUCAACAGUACUGGGAUUUAGAAAAAAGCUUACAGAAAACUAUGAAUCAGCUAAUUAAUAUUUUCAGAGAGACUUAACAGUCUUCUUCUACCUAUCAAUUGCAAACCAUUCUAUGAAGGCCACUAACCUAGAUAACUCUAUAAUAUAAUAUGAAAGUAGGAAAAACUGGACUCUCAUCUCCAAACUUCCUGAGCCUCUUCUUUUUUGUUCCCUUCUGCCCUGGCCCUGUGUCUUGUUUCUGAGUUAUAUAUGUGGGCAUUUCUAUUUGUCUCUUUUUCUCAGUGUGUAUUUUCCCUUCACUCUUCCCUUGUGUCUCUUGCUUUCCCUCUGUCUGUGUGGGUUCUGUGUUUCUUUGCUCUUUCCCCUCUUCCUUCCCCAUUCCCUCUAUCCUACUCUAAUCCCUUCCCCUAGUCUCCCUCAUUCUUCCUCCUCCCUCAACUGACCAGUGAGGUGCUGGCAUGUACAGUGUAGCUGUUCUGUUUAACAUAUAAAAUUGAUUUCCAUUUAGAACUAAGAUUUCCAAGAGCUAGUGUACUCAUUCCAAAGUGCUUCUAGAUGAUUGUUAAAAAAAAGAAUAAUUUUAAACUAUUUUAUCAUUGUGCCUGUGUUCACAUCUCUCAAGGAGAUUUACUUUUUUUUCCCAAUCCCCAAGCCUACUUGUCCCACUCUGCCACCACCAACCUGCCCGCUCUCUUCUGUACCUCGGGUCUGUCCCCAGCUCCUGUACUGGACUGCACCAAAAUCAGACCACAUCAUAUCUGUUCUUUAAACAGAAGAGGAUUGAUGUAACCUUCCGUGUUGAGCCAAGUCCCUUUUGUUCUUCCAUAAUGUUUAUUUUAGUUAACUUCCUUUUUUCUUCUCUCUUAAGGCUUGACACUUUACAAACUAUUGAUUUAGCUCUGAAGCCAGUUGUCUGGGCUCUGAAGCUUAUAUUUAAGAUGCUCUUACUUUUUCACGCAAGAGUGCCUCUCUUGUCUGUCAGAUUCCAAGGGAGAGACUACCAGGGACAGCUCUCCUCUGAGCAGAGGCUUCCCUUGUAAAGGAAUGUCUCUUUGUGUUCAUCUUGUGCAUAAAUCACCAGCGAGCUUUUAAAUGAGAAAAGACCUUGCUGACCCAGAAGGUGGUAUUUAUAAAUAGUCCUCCAGUUCCCCCUCCUUAAAGCUUGUCCACCUAAUCCUCUCCUCUCUCAAGACUGGAAGUGAUUUGACCCUUGAGUCUUAAAACUCAGGCUCUUCUUCUGUGAAAAAUCUGGUUAGCAAGAAGCUGUUAAAAAUGUUUUCAGCCAGAUGAGGAUUUAGCCAUCAAAGCUUACUUUCCACUUCCAGCAUUUUUAGCCAAAUAUGCUUUCUCCUUUGAGGACAAGCUUUUAUCAGUUAUUAUUUUAAGACACCAACCUCAGUAAUUUUUAUUUCUUUUUACUAAUAGGCUAUCGUGGAUUUGUAUUUUCAUGAUUUAUAAAGCUGUUCCCAAAUGGCUGCAUCUCUACUAUGAACUAAGAGCUGUUUUCACCUCUAAUUUACAGAACUUGGAGGGACAUCAUUAGCUGGAAGUUCCAUGUGCAUUUCUCUAAUUUUGUAUUAUUUAUUGAAGAUAAAAUCUUACAGGUUUUGUUAGGAUUAUAAUCUGAAGCACAUGAUAAUAGAUACUGAUAGUUUUCCAGAUUAGGGUGCAUGCUGGAAAUGCCUAAUUGUUAAACUGGCCAAAGAUUUUUUUUUUUACUAUAUUUCCCAAAAAGAUAAAUUAAGUCCUUAACCUGAUUAUUUAUAAGAGAAGAGAUACUUAUAUUAGGAAGAUAAACCAUGUAUUUUUAGCAGCUUCUCUCCCUUGCUAUACAAUGAAGGAAUCUUAUAUUCAGUAUUCACUAUUAGAGAGAACACUCUAAUUUAAGACUCUUUCUUUUUACCUCCUAAAAGACUGAAGAGUAAGUCCUCAUCCCAGAGGUUUCUUUGCUGACCUGGGCCAGUGGCAGUAAUGCUUUCCUGGAAGCUGUGAGGUCUGAUCCACAGCUUGUGAGGGGAGCCCCUUCUCCAAGGCUUUUCUUGCAGUAAUUUUGCUAGCAUGCCCCACUUGUAUGUGAACCUUGAACUUCAGGAGUAAUUUUAGUUUUGUUUAAUCAAGAAAGUCUGGCUGAAUGUCCAGUCCAAUGUGGCUGAAUUGGUAUGUAAGAGACUAUCUGUAGAGAAAGAAUGGCAAGCAUGUAUGGGGCAGGUUGAGUGAAUUCUGUCAUCAGAAAGCCUUGGGCUUAAAUGUCUGCAGCAGUUCUACUUAGAUCUGAGCUCAGAGUGGACUGGCUGGAGCAGUAGUGCCUUGUUUUACUUCUCCAGCUGGAGACGCUUUCUCUUGAUAUAAGAAAAACACAGAAUGGGUAAGCACAUGUGUGUUAAUUGGAAUUGUAAGACAUGGCCUAAGCAAGUAUGUAUACUUUUGACUUGUUUUAGAAUUUAGUUGUUAAAAAAAGUGGAGUUUAGAAAUACAAAGCAGGGGAAAGAAACCAUGUGGGUGUAGAACAGCAAUAUGUAGCGGUCUAGUGAGCAUACGAGGAGAGUUUGCUAGAUUGCGCUCAUUGAGAGGAGAGUGGACAACCAGCACAACUUCAGAGCAGUGGUAGGUUCACUCACGGAGAACAGCACGAACAGGUCGGGGCCCAGGAGGUUAGGGCAGCCGUCAUGUUCAAGGCACGUUACUGGAUAACCUGUGGUUAUAUUUGUGGCUUUUCUCACACAGCAGCAUAACUUAGAAAGAAUCUCUCUAGAGGGUUAAAUGUAGUGCCAUUACAUGCAUAAUGAUGCUGCUCUACCAUGUUCAGGGCUCUCCACUGCAAGCUACCCAAACAAUGGGAAAAGCUGAAGGCUCUCUGGGCCUUUCAGAAUUGACAGGCAAUUUGGAAGACCAAGACUGCAGCCACCUCUGCACUAGGGAAAGGUCAGGUUGGCAUACCCACUGCCUCACCCUGAAAAGCUGACUUUACUCAAGUUCUUGUGUGACUACAGCUUCAGGGACCCAGAACUAGGUACCCUAGGUAAGCCUAGGUCUUGUGCUUUCCCCCAGCUGCCCCAGAACCGAGUACAGAAGGAUCUGGAUCUUCUAGUUGCUGUGGUGCAAAGCCGUCACUGCCUCUCAUGGGGGAAGGGAGGCUGCAGGGUGCUGUUGGGAAGAGGGUUUGGUUGCUAGGCAGAAAAAAAACAAUACAUGUAAACUGUAUCAGCUGUAUUUAUCAAAGCUCAGUCUCUUUACAAAUAUUAACCACCUUUUUUAGACUUAGUCUCCAUGCAUGGAUAAUAUUAAUUUUCUUUCCCUUUAAUGAUUUGUCCAUUUUUUAAAAAUUGGAACUAUCCUUUUAAAUGGAGUCUUUAUUGUUACCAAAGUUGUAUGUGUACCUCAUUUAGCGUCAUAGUUGCACUGGCUUCUAAUGAAGAAAUGUGUUUGUUCCAAGUUCACCCAUCCCUAUUUUCUACU